GAAUGCUGACAUAAGUAACGAUAAAGCGGGUGAAAAGCCCGCUCGCCGGAAGACCAAGGGUUCCUGUCCAACGUUAAUCGGGGCAGGGUGAGUCGACCCCUAAGGCGAGGCCGAAAGGCGUAGUCGAUGGGAAACGGGUUAAUAUUCCCGUACUUGGUGUUACUGCGAAGGGGGGACGGAGAAGGCUAUGUUGGCCGGGCGACGGUUGUCCCGGUUUAAGCGUGUAGGUGUGUGUUCCAGGUAAAUCCGGUUCACUUUAACACUGAGGCGUGACGACGAGGCACUACGGUGCUGAAGCAACAAAUGCCCUGCUUCCAGGAAAAGCCUCUAAGCAUCAGGUAACAUCAAAUCGUACCCCAAACCGACACAGGUGGUCAGGUAGAGAAUACCAAGGCGCUUGAGAGAACUCGGGUGAAGGAACUAGGCAAAAUGGUGCCGUAACUUCGGGAGAAGGCACGCUGACACGUAGGUGAAGUGAUUUACUCAUGGAGCUGAAGUCAGUCGAAGAUACCAGCUGGCUGCAACUGUUUAUUAAAAACACAGCACUGUGCAAACACGAAAGUGGACGUAUACGGUGUGACGCCUGCCCGGUGCCGGAAGGUUAAUUGAUGGGGUCAGCGCAAGCGAAGCUCCUGAUCGAAGCCCCGGUAAACGGCGGCCGUAACUAUAACGGUCCUAAGGUAGCGAAAUUCCUUGUCGGGUAAGUUCCGACCUGCACGAAUGGCGUAAUGAUGGCCAGGCUGUCUCCACCCGAGACUCAGUGAAAUUGAACUCGCUGUGAAGAUGCAGUGUACCCGCGGCAAGACGGAAAGACCCCGUGAACCUUUACUAUAGCUUGACACUGAACAUUGAGCCUUGAUGUGUAGGAUAGGUGGGAGGCUUUGAAGUGUGGACGCCAGUCUGCAUGGAGCCGACCUUGAAAUACCACCCUUUAAUGUUUGAUGUUCUAACGUGGACCCGUUACCCGGGUUGCGGACAGUGUCUGGUGGGUAGUUUGACUGGGGCGGUCUCCUCCUAAAGAGUAACGGAGGAGCACGAAGGUUGGCUAAUCCUGGUCGGACAUCAGGAGGUUAGUGCAAUGGCAUAAGCCAGCUUGACUGCGAGCGUGACGGCGCGAGCAGGUGCGAAAGCAGGUCAUAGUGAUCCGGUGGUUCUGAAUGGAAGGGCCAUCGCUCAACGGAUAAAAGGUACUCCGGGGAUAACAGGCUGAUACCGCCCAAGAGUUCAUAUCGACGGCGGUGUUUGGCACCUCGAUGUCGGCUCAUCACAUCCUGGGGCUGAAGUAGG
RNAcentral lists this ribosomal RNA (1287 nucleotides) under Salmonella enterica. RNAcentral's name for it is "partial 23S ribosomal RNA". It matches the Rfam family "Bacterial large subunit ribosomal RNA", at positions 1292 to 2562 of the family's 2925-position model. Lineage: Bacteria; Pseudomonadati; Pseudomonadota; Gammaproteobacteria; Enterobacterales; Enterobacteriaceae. RNAcentral also lists the same sequence under 1 other name. The record is from RNAcentral.